UGCUAGAAACCAAGAUUUCGACUCUUAAGCUGAAGGGUAAACCCUUCUCUAGCAC
RNAcentral lists this transfer RNA (55 nucleotides) under Gordius sp. VVA-2019. Its description in RNAcentral is "tRNA-Arg". Lineage: Eukaryota; Metazoa; Nematomorpha; Gordioida; Gordea; Gordiidae. The record is from RNAcentral.